CCAUACGACCGUACCGCAAACCGACACUGGUGCGCGAGAUGAGUAUUCUAAGGCGCUUGAGAGAACUCAGGAGAAGGAACUCGGCAAAUUGACACCGUAACUUCGGAAGAAGGUGUGCCCUAUUAGUGUGUAGUGGACAACGAAGCAUGAAUGGGUUGCAAAAAAUCGGUGGCUGCGACUGUUUAUUAAAAACACAGCACUCUGCAAACACGAAAGUGGACGUAUAGGGUGUGACGCCUGCCCGGUGCUGGAAGAUUAAAUGAUGGGGUGCAAGCUCUUGAUUGAAGUCCCAGUAAACGGCGGCCGUAACAAUAACGGUCCUAAGGUAGCGAAAUUCCUUGUCGGGUAAGUUCCGACCUGCACGAAUGGCGUAACGAUGGCCACACUGUCUCCUCCUGAGACUCAGCGAAGUUGAAAUGUUUGUGAUGAUGCAAUCUCCCCGCGGAAAGACGGAAAGACCCCAUGAACCUUUACUGUAGCUUUGUAUUGGACUUUGAACAGAUCUGUGUAGGAUAGGUGGGAGGCUUUGAAGCAGGGUCGCUAGAUCUUGUGGAGCCAACGUUGAAAUACCACCCUGGUGUGUUUGAGGUUCUAACCUAGGUCCAUUAUCUGGAUCGGGGACAGUGCAUGGUAGGCAGUUUGACUGGGGCGGUCUCCUCCCAAAGCGUAACGGAGGAGUUCGAAGGUACGCUAGUUACGGUCGGACAUCGUGACGAUAGUGCAAUGGCAUAAGCGUGCUUAACUGCGAGACUGACAAGUCGAGCAGAUGCGAAAGCAGGACAUAGUGAUCCGGUGGUUCUGUAUGGAAGGGCCAUCGCUCAACGGAUAAAAGGUACUCUGGGGAUAACAGGCUGAUACCGCCCAAGAGUUCAUAUCGACGGCGGUGUUUGGCACCUCGAUGUCGGCUCAUCUCAUCCUGGGGCUGUAGCCGGUCCCAAGGGUAUGGCUGUUCGCCAUUUAAAGAGGUACGUGAGCUGGGUUUAAAACGUCGUGAGACAGUUUGGUCCCUAUCUUCCGUGGGCGCUGCAGAUUUGAGGAAGCCUGCUCCUAGUACGAGAGGACCGGAGUGGACACACCUCUGGUGUAUCGGUUGUCACGCCAGUGGCAUUGCCGAGUAGCUAAGUGUGGAAGAGAUAACCGCUGAAAGCAUCUAAGCGGGAAACUCGUUUCAAGAUGAGAUCUGCCGGGGCCUUGAGCCCCCUAAAGAGUCGUUCAAGACCAGGACGUUGAUAGGUCAGGUGUGGAAGCCAA
This 1251-nucleotide ribosomal RNA is filed under the name metagenome. RNAcentral describes it as "bacterial LSU rRNA". It matches the Rfam family "Bacterial large subunit ribosomal RNA", at positions 1634 to 2877 of the family's 2925-position model. The record is from RNAcentral.